Molecule: long non-coding RNA, 224 nt
Filed under: Capsella rubella
Lineage: Eukaryota; Viridiplantae; Streptophyta; Magnoliopsida; Brassicales; Brassicaceae
Description: long non-coding RNA (CRUB_LNC005086)
Source: RNAcentral
UCUAUUUCUUCCUCUAAACUCUAUUUUAUAGCAAAUUUUGCUCCAACCCACCUCUAUAUCCACCUCUAUUAUAGAGAUUGCUAUUUUUAUCUCUAUAUAUAGAGGAACUCUAUUUUUUCCUCUAUAAAUAGAGGUGAACUAUUUUCUUACAAAAUAGUCCUUUUAAUCUCAAACUUCUUUUAUUUAUGACCAAAAUAAAUAAAAUAAAUAUAUUUAAUAACUAA